This is a small nuclear RNA of Fukomys damarensis (Damara mole-rat), 107 nucleotides long. NCBI's taxonomy places the organism in Eukaryota, Metazoa, Chordata, Mammalia, Rodentia, Bathyergidae. The record is from Ensembl.
GUGCUCGUUAUGGCAGCACAUGUUCUAAAAUUGGCAUGAUACAGAGAAAAUUAGCAUGGCCCUUGUGCAGCGAUGACGUGUAAAAUCAUUUUCAAGACCGACUAUUC